This 1593-nucleotide long non-coding RNA is filed under the name Hordeum vulgare. Its description in RNAcentral is "long non-coding RNA (HVUL_LNC002720)". Lineage: Eukaryota; Viridiplantae; Streptophyta; Magnoliopsida; Poales; Poaceae. The record is from RNAcentral.
AGAGAAGAGCGAUCACUAUGAGCAAGAGCCCGACUAUGUAGUACUUCUGGAGGCACCGGUUUCUCUCCCUCUCUUGCCGUAUCAUUCACUUCAAGUAACUCUUUUCCGCUUCGGCUCUGCUGUCGAACCCUCUGUGGCUAGCGCCCGGGUACCUGUCCACCUGGGUCUGAGCGUCUGGCCAGUGGUCGCACACUCCUAGAACCCUCACAAUGAAUACGACAUAGCAGCCUUUGCCAUCUCAGAUCUAUGUACCUGCAUCGUAAGUUGAUGAAUUGAAUGAUAAUAUGCAACAUAAUGUACUUGAGAAACACAAAGAGGCAUAAUUAGGAAAAUACAAGCAACCUAUAGUAAACAUAAAUAACGAAGUUCCUCAUACACAAACUAAUUAACUAGAGCGAUGUAUCCUAGUUCAUAGAAAGACAGUGCUACUAAUUAUAAACACACAUUGUCAUCGUCAAUCACUACUUCAUGUCGGCGCUCCAAUCUUCAUAGUCAGGGAUAAAGGACCCAAGCUUAUUGAAAGGAUUCAGGUCCAAAAGCUGAGCGAGUAGCAGCUCUCGAACAUUGUCCCGCCUCAUUGGCCCAUGGAAGAACAUCCCUCCUUAUUCGACGACCUGCUUCAUGAUCACCUUGGCAAGUUCACACUGUAUGUAAUAAAACUCAGCUCGGAUUCGAUGAUUUUGUGUCCUUCCUAUGCUUGUGACCCAGUUGACAAUCUCGGCAUCACCGGAAGUAGCUGACAUGCGAAGGCGUUGUUUAUCCCUUCUAUACUCGAUCAUGUGAUGAAUGAGGUAUAAUCUAUCAGCCUUACUAUCAUUAGGUUGCUGGAUGCAACAGAACUCGGUCUUAUGGCCGAAAGCCGGUUUUUUAUUCUUGUACUUUUUCACCUAGAUAUAUCCACCAGUAAGGUUGAAGGUUAAAAUGGCACUAUCGAGAACACUCUUUAUGUGCCCGUAAUCCUUUUUUUGAUGUUCUUCGUUGAGUACAAGUAAAGAACAUGAAAGUAUUAUGGAUACUUCUCAAAUAAAUACUCUUCAAAUUAGCCUCCAUUCUUGCAAAGGAAUCAUCAAAACUUACAUAAGAAUAUCCGCGAAUAACUUACGUGGGAUAAUAAGGCGCGAGAAUCAUUUCAUUGUCAUUAUUAGCGAUCAUGAACUCGUAUAAUCAUGAUGCUCUUUGCACGCUGUCAAAAAGCUCUCGUGCAUAUAAUACGAAUCCACGAUACAGAUAUAGUACGGGUCCGCUACCAAAGAUCACACUCACGAUCGUCGGCACAUGUGUGCUCUUCCGCCCCUGGUUGACCUUAGCAGAUCACUACCACAACGUCGGGAAGAAUUCAUACCAGAUCAGGGCCACGAUGUUGUGGAGAAUAGACACCUUGAUGGAUCACAUGAAGUAUCCUCGUUGGCGUUUUCGGCAACGAUGUGCUCCUCGUUUCCACUCCCCGUUAACAUCCAUGUCACCAUUGCUGGCAACAGCAAUGAUGUGCGAGAAACUCCAAGAUUGCUGGCGAAUGUUGUGGUUACUUAUUUAGGUCAUGGCCAGGAGAAGUUUAUAAAGAAAAACUGCAGGUUUAGGACCGUUUCAUGAAAU